This 755-nucleotide ribosomal RNA is filed under the name uncultured bacterium. RNAcentral describes it as "bacterial SSU rRNA". It matches the Rfam family "Bacterial small subunit ribosomal RNA", at positions 8 to 796 of the family's 1533-position model. The record is from RNAcentral.
AGAGUUUGAUCAUGGCUCAGAAUCAACGCUGGCGGCGUGCCUAACACAUGCAAGUCGCACGAGAAAGGGGAGCAAUCCCUGAGUAAAGUGGCGCACGGGUGAGUAACACGUGACUAACCUACCCUCGAGUGGGGAAUAACCUAGAGAAAUCUGGGCUAAUACCGCAUAACACUUACGAGUCAAAGCAGCAAUGCGCUUGGGGAGGGGGUCGCGGCCGAUUAGCUAGUUGGCGGGGUAAUGGCCCACCAAGGCGAUGAUCGGUAUCCGGCCUGAGAGGGCGCACGGACACACUGGAACUGAAACACGGUCCAGACUCCUACGGGAGGCAGCAGUGGGGAAUUUUGCGCAAUGGGGGAAACCCUGACGCAGCAACGCCGCGUGGAGGAUGAAAUAUCUUGGUAUGUAAACUCCUUUCGAUGGGGAAGAUUAUGACGGUACCCAUAGAAGAAGCCCCGGCUAACUUCGUGCCAGCAGCCGCGGUAAUACGAGGGGGGCAAGCGUUGUUCGGAUUUAUUGGGCGUAAAGGGUGCGUAGGCGGUUUGGCAAGUCUGAUGUGAAAUCUAUGGGCUCAACCCAUAGUCUGCAUCAGAAACUGCCGGGCUUGAGUAUGGGAGAGGUGAGUGGAAUUUCCGGUGUAGCGGUGAAAUGCGUAGAUAUCGGAAGGAACACCUGUGGCGAAAGCGGCUCACUGGACCAUUACUGACGCUGAUGUACGAAAGCUAGGGGAGCAAACGGAUUAGAUACCCNNGUAGUCC